Long non-coding RNA from Oncorhynchus tshawytscha (Chinook salmon), 312 nucleotides. NCBI's taxonomy places the organism in Eukaryota, Metazoa, Chordata, Actinopteri, Salmoniformes, Salmonidae. The record is from Ensembl.
GUGUGUAUAGGGUGUGUGUAUAGGGUGUGUAUAUAGGGUGUGUGUAUAAGGUGUGUGUAUUGGGUGUGUAUAUAGGGUGUGUGUAUAGGGUGUGUGUAUAGGGUGUGUAUAUAGGGUGUGUGUAUAGGGUGUGUGUAUAGGGUGUGUAUAUAGGGUGUGUGUAUAAGGUGUGUGUAUUGGGUGUGUAUAUAGGGUGUGUGUAUAGGGUGUGUGUAUAGGGUGUGUAUAUAGGGUGUGUGUAUAGGGUGUGUGUAUAGGGUGUGUAUAUAGGGUGUGUGUAUAGGGUGUGUGUAUAGGGUGUGUGUAUAGGGU